This 82-nucleotide transfer RNA is filed under the name Saccoglossus kowalevskii. RNAcentral's name for it is "tRNA-Leu". It matches the Rfam family "tRNA". From Rfam's summary of the family: Transfer RNA (tRNA) molecules are approximately 80 nucleotides in length. The record is from RNAcentral. Lineage: Eukaryota; Metazoa; Hemichordata; Enteropneusta; Harrimaniidae.
GGUAGCGUGGCCGAGCGGUCUAAGGCGCUGGUUUUAGGCACCUGUCAUUUCGAUGGCGUGGGUUCGAAUCCCACCGCUGCCA